Molecule: transfer RNA, 61 nt
Filed under: Xenophyes cascus
Lineage: Eukaryota; Metazoa; Arthropoda; Insecta; Hemiptera; Peloridiidae
Description: tRNA-His
Source: RNAcentral
UUUAAAUAGUUUAUAAAAAUGUUGGCUUGUGGGACCAAAGAUAUCUUAAUGAUUUUAAAUU